This is a non-coding RNA of Sus scrofa (pig), 935 nucleotides long. The record is from RefSeq and is a predicted model, not a curated record. NCBI's taxonomy places the organism in Eukaryota, Metazoa, Chordata, Mammalia, Artiodactyla, Suidae.
GAUCAGGAGUGGGACUGAGACUUGUCUUCCUUUGCACCUCAGCAGGAUACCACCUCACCUGGAAAUUCAUUUUUAAGAGGAUGAACAAUCAAUAUAUCCGUCGAGAAGUCUUCUGCUGUGAAACUUGCCAUGAGCUCAAAGCUUCUGGGAGAAAGAAAUUAGAAAACAGACUUGUUACCGGGAACUGGAAGAAGAUGACAGGGAAGGAGUGCCCUGGGAAAGCUCCGAGAAGAGUGGAAGCAGAGACUGGAGAAAAGGCUGAGGAUGUUGGACAAUCCUGAUGGGAAGGAAAAGCAGACCAACACUGUAGGCUGAAAAUUACCUGCCUCCUCUACUUCAAAGAUAACAAGCCACUGAGGGCACUUUUCUAGGAGAAAAAACUAGCACCCAAGUUAUGUUGACUUACUAAGCAGGACACUCUCUAUUUGCUCUCCCAUUUGUGAGGGGAUUUACAUGUGAAACCUCCCCCAGUGCUAAUGGGAGUCCUUAUCCAACUCAAUCCUCUCUGCACAGAGAAUAGGAUGACCGCCAAUGAAAUAGGAAGCUCAGGUUAUCUAAUAUAAAAAUCUCUUGGAAUUAGCACUUCCCAGUGUUCAAAGAUCUAUGUAAUAGAAUUGAUUUCCACAUUUUCUUCUCAUUUUGAAAUCUGAAUGUUUAAUCCAAGCUUGCCAGGGGCAAUGACCUUGUGGAGAAACUGGCUUCCCUAUGUCUUCUGGAAAAACAGAGUCAUACAAUCUUCCCCCCCCACCCCCCGAUUUGGUGAAUGUAGAAAUACUACUGCUGUUGUUAUGAAAAGAAUAGUUUCUUAACAACAUGGUUUGAAAAUGAACCGAACUAAAUUAUUUUCUGUUCCUAUAAAUUGGGUUUAUUUUUCAUAAACAAGCAGAAGCAUGCAGUGAAAGUAAGAUGAUGCUUAAUAAACUUGGUUUGUCGUG